This 234-nucleotide ribosomal RNA is filed under the name Escherichia coli. Its description in RNAcentral is "partial 23S ribosomal RNA". It matches the Rfam family "Bacterial large subunit ribosomal RNA", at positions 1 to 226 of the family's 2925-position model. Lineage: Bacteria; Pseudomonadati; Pseudomonadota; Gammaproteobacteria; Enterobacterales; Enterobacteriaceae. The record is from RNAcentral. RNAcentral also lists the same sequence under 1 other name.
GGGUUGUGAGGUUAAGCGACUAAGCGUACACGGUGGAUGCCCUGGCAGUCAGAGGCGAUGAAGGACGUGCUAAUCUGCGAUAAGCGUCGGUAAGGUGAUAUGAACCGUUAUAACCGGCGAUUUCCGAAUGGGGAAACCCAGUGUGUUUCGACACACUAUCAUUAACUGAAUCCAUAGGUUAAUGAGGCGAACCGGGGGAACUGAAACAUCUAAGUACCCCGAGGAAAAGAAAUC